RNAcentral lists this ribosomal RNA (494 nucleotides) under uncultured bacterium. RNAcentral's name for it is "partial 16S ribosomal RNA". It matches the Rfam family "Bacterial small subunit ribosomal RNA", at positions 28 to 507 of the family's 1533-position model. The record is from RNAcentral.
GACGAACGCUGGCGGCGUGCUUAACACAUGCAAGUCGAACGGAAAGUCCGGCUUUCCCUUGGCGAUUGCGGGUGCUCGAGUGGCGAACGGGUGAGUAACACGUAAGUGAUCUGCCCCCAACUUGGGUAUAAGCCUGGGAAACUGGGUCUAAUUCCCGAUAGCACUGCAGUGUGGUGCCUGUGGUGGAAAACGAUUUUCUAGUGGUUGGGGAUGAACUCGCGGCCUAUCAGCUUGUUGGUGGGGUAAUUGCCUACCAAGGCGGCGACGGCUAGCCGGCGUGAGACGGUGGACCGGGACAUUGGGACUGAGCUACGGCCCAGGGUCAGAGGCGAGGCAGCAGUGGGGACUAGUGGACGAUGGGCGGAAGCCUGAUGCAGGGACGCAGGGUGGAGGCUGACGGGCUUCGGGUGGUAUACUCCUUUCGACGGCGAGGAAGACACCUGGUUGGGAGGGUGGUGACGGUAGUGGUAGAAGAAGCACCGGCUAACUACGUG